GCAAAACUCAAAAGUCAACAUUAGAAGAUGAGAGAAACAAGCCUAUUUGAAUUACAUGUUCUGAAGAACAACUUCUAUUUCCAACCAUAUGCCUUAGUAAAAUUUAUGAGCCUCCCUGAGUCUGCAGUCCCUUUCUUGCUAAUCUUUGCUUUUUCUUUUUUUUCUUAAUCUCCCUUUCCCAUAGUUUCCUUUGCGCUUUUCUUUUGUUUAUGUUUUUGAUGUUGUUGUUUAAAAUUUUGUAUUUCCUUUUUCUUCUCCCCUCCCAUGCCCUAAUCCCAAGUCACAGCUGGUACUAUUCUUCCCGAUUUUCUCUCUUUGUUUUAAAAAGUUAAGCUGACAUUUAAUAAUUUGACACAAUUCACAUAGAAAUCUAAGUUUCUGAUUUUUCUUGAAAACUAGAAGCUGUAGCCACAUUGGGCUGUAGUUUCUACAAGGCCACAAUCAGCCAGAGGUAAGUAGAGGCUGCAGCCUUAGGUGGGUCUCACACUCUCCAGAGUCCCUACCACUAUGCUUUCCUUCACCUACUUGUGAGACUUGCCUUACCCCUGUUGGCAUUGAUUUACUCUGACUUACACCCAUCAUGGAGAUAUGCUAGCUACAUGCUUAAGUCGGAGACACCUUAAGAAAAGAUCAUUUACAUUCUCAGGCAGAGACUGUUGUGAAGAGAUAUCAUGUACUCAACAAAUGACAACCUACUAGGUGCCAGGUACACUUUUUGAUGUUAGAGGUAAAAACAAAUAAGAGAGAAAUUUGCCUACUUUUAUGGUUUUAUCUAAUAGAAGUUGUCAGUAAACAAAUAAACACAUUAACAAGAUAAUUUCAAGCAGUGCUAAGUAUAUGAAAUGGUAUUUUAUGCUUCAUAAUUUUGUGUAGUGAAAAUAUAUGAAAGGCACACAGCAGGUAGAUAGGAUAGAGGGCAGGGGUAGGGAUAGCUUGAGAUGGAUGGUGGCACCAGAGUUGUUGAUGUAGGUCAGAGAUCACAGGAAGGUGUCUAGGUGAUAAUAAACCAGGAGCUGACUGUGACAUCUGAGGCAGCACCAGCUUUGUGAAGAGCUCGGAGAAAAAAUAAGAUAAGCAGAGGAAAGAAUAAAUACAAGAAGCUUGAGGUAGGCAUGAUUUUGACAUCUUCAAGGAAAUUGAAGCCAGUGUGAUUGGGGCUUAGAGAGGUGAUACAUAGGAGGGAAGCUGAGGAGGUGGGCAACAGAUCUUGCAAAGCUUUGGAGCCCACAGUGAGGAGUUCGGAUCUGAUUCUAAUUGCACUGGAAAAUCAUUAGAGAUUAUUAAGAAUGUGAGUUUUUGCAAAAUCUGAUUUUCUAUAAGGAGUAAUGCCUUACAAUUUAUAGCUGUAACUGAGUGUGAAAUAUAAUACUUUCAGAAAAAAAUAUACAUAACACAUACCAAAUGCUUAGUGAAUAAUUAUAAAAGCAAAGAUCAUGUAUCCACCACACCCUCAGGAAAUAGAACUCUGCCUAAUUCCAGAAACACUCUCCGUAUCUGUCAUUCCCUAUAGAAAAUAACCACUUCUCUCCUCAAGGUCAUUGUCAUCAUGACAUUUAUUGUAUAUGCUUUCUUGAUUUUCUUUAUAGUUUUCCCUCUUAACAAAUGCCUCCCUACACAAUAUAGCUUCAUGUCACCUAUUACUAAAUUAAAUCUUACAUAAAUAUAAUUUGACAUCUACAUUAAGAUAGUGAAUGGAAAACUCCUUACAGAAAUUCUCUUUCCCAAAACAGAAUUCAAAGAUAGUUUUAAGCAUAACAUCUUUUUUUAUUUACAACAAUAAAAUAAGGGCAUAACUUAAUGUAAUACAUUUAUUUCAAAAACUGACAACCAAGGGAAAGAAUUCUUAAGCAAAAUACAAA
RNAcentral lists this long non-coding RNA (1859 nucleotides) under Marmota monax (woodchuck). Lineage: Eukaryota; Metazoa; Chordata; Mammalia; Rodentia; Sciuridae. The record is from RNAcentral.